RNAcentral lists this ribosomal RNA (1493 nucleotides) under uncultured bacterium. RNAcentral describes it as "bacterial SSU rRNA". It matches the Rfam family "Bacterial small subunit ribosomal RNA". The record is from RNAcentral.
GAGAGUUUGAUCCUGGCUCAGGAUGAACGCUAGCUACAGGCUUAACACAUGCAAGUCGAGGGGCAGCAUGGUCUUAGCUUGCUAAGGCCGAUGGCGACCGGCGCACGGGUGAGUAACGCGUAUCCAACCUGCCUUACACUCUUGGACAGCCUUCUGAAAGGGAGAUUAAUACAAGAUGUUAUCAUGAGUAAGCAUUUUCGCAUGAUUAAAGGUUUACCGGUGUAAGAUGGGGAUGCGUUCCAUUAGAUAGUGGGCGGGGUAACGGCCCACCUAGUCUUCGAUGGAUAGGGGUUCUGAGAGGAAGGUCCCCCACAUUGGAACUGAGACACGGUCCAAACUCCUACGGGAGGCAGCAGUGAGGAAUAUUGGUCAAUGGACGAGAGUCUGAACCAGCCAAGUAGCGUGAAGGAUGAAGGUUCUAUGGAUUGUAAACUUCUUUUAUACGGGAAUAAACGAAUCCACGCGUGGAUUUUUGCAUGUACCGUAUGAAUAAGGAUCGGCUAACUCCGUGCCAGCAGCCGCGGUAAUACGGAGGAUCCGAGCGUUAUCCGGAUUUAUUGGGUUUAAAGGGAGCGUAGAUGGGUUGUUAAGUCAGUUGUGAAAGUUUGCGGCUCAACCGUAAAAUUGCAAUUGAUACUGGCAGUCUUGAGUACAGUUGAGGUAGGCGGAAUUCGUGGUGUAGCGGUGAAAUGCUUAGAUAUCACGAAGAACUCCGAUUGCGAAGGCAGCUUACUAACCUGUAACUGACAUUGAUGCUCGAAAGUGUGGGUAUCAAACAGGAUUAGAUACCCUGGUAGUCCACACGGUAAACGAUGAAUACUCGCUGUAGGCGAUAUACAGUCUGCGGCCAAGCGAAAGCAUUAAGUAUUCCACCUGGGGAGUACGCCGGCAACGGUGAAACUCAAAGGAAUUGACGGGGGCCCGCACAAGCGGAGGAACAUGUGGUUUAAUUCGAUGAUACACGAGGAACCUUACCCGGGCUUAAAUUGCAACCGAAUAUGGCGGAAACGCUAUAGCUAGCAAUAGCGGUUGUGAAGGUGCUGCAUGGUUGUCGUCAGCUCGUGCCGUGAGGUGUCGGCUUAAGUGCCAUAACGAGCGCAACCCUUGCCGAUAGUUACUAACAGGUCAUGCUGAGGACUCUGUCGGGACUGCCAUCGUAAGAUGUGAGGAAGGUGGGGAUGACGUCAAAUCAGCACGGCCCUUACGUCCGGGGCUACACACGUGUUACAAUGGGGGGUACAGAGGGCUGCUACCACGCAAGUGGAUGCCAAUCCCAAAAACCUCUCUCAGUUCGGAUUGAAGUCUGCAACCCGACUUCAUGAAGCUGGAUUCGCUAGUAAUCGCGCAUCAGCCACGGCGCGGUGAAUACGUUCCCGGGCCUUGUACACACCGCCCGUCAAGCCAUGGGAGCCGGGGGUACCUGAAGUGCGUAACCGCAAGGAGCGCCCUAGGGUAAAACUGGUGACUGGGGCUAAGUCGUAACAAGGUAGCCG